CAAGUCGACGGCAGCACGGGGGCAACCCUGGUGGCGAGUGGCGAACGGGUGAGUAAUACAUCGGAACGUGUCCUGUAGUGGGGGAUAGCCCGGCGAAAGCCGGAUUAAUACCGCAUACGCUCUACGGAGGAAAGGGGGGGAUCUUAGGACCUCCCGCUACAGGGGCGGCCGAUGGCAGAUUAGCUAGUUGGUGGGGUAAAGGCCUACCAAGGCGACGAUCUGUAGCUGGUCUGAGAGGACGACCAGCCACACUGGGACUGAGACACGGCCCAGACUCCUACGGGAGGCAGCAGUGGGGAAUUUUGGACAAUGGGGGCAACCCUGAUCCAGCAAUGCCGCGUGUGUGAAGAAGGCCUUCGGGUUGUAAAGCACUUUUGUCCGGAAAGAAAACGCCGUGGUUAAUACCCGUGGCGGAUGACGGUACCGGAAGAAUAAGCACCGGCUAACUACGUGCCAGCAGCCGCGGUAAUACGUAGGGUGCAAGCGUUAAUCGGAAUUACUGGGCGUAAAGCGUGCGCAGGCGGUCCGCUAAGACAGAUGUGAAAUCCCCGGGCUUAACCUGGGAACUGCAUUUGUGACUGGCGGGCUAGAGUAUGGCAGAGGGGGGUAGAAUUCCACGUGUAGCAGUGAAAUGCGUAGAGAUGUGGAGGAAUACCGAUGGCGAAGGCAGCCCCCUGGGCCAAUACUGACGCUCAUGCACGAAAGCGUGGGGAGCAAAC
Molecule: ribosomal RNA, 719 nt
Filed under: Burkholderia sp. Z41_3
Lineage: Bacteria; Pseudomonadati; Pseudomonadota; Betaproteobacteria; Burkholderiales; Burkholderiaceae
Description: bacterial SSU rRNA
Rfam family: Bacterial small subunit ribosomal RNA
Source: RNAcentral